GGGGAUGUAGCUCAGCGGGAGAGCACCGCGUUCGCAACGCGGGGGUCGAGGGUUCAAAUCCCUUCAUCUCCA
This 72-nucleotide transfer RNA is filed under the name Desulfomonile tiedjei DSM 6799. It matches the Rfam family "tRNA". From Rfam's summary of the family: Transfer RNA (tRNA) molecules are approximately 80 nucleotides in length. Their secondary structure includes four short double-helical elements and three loops (D, anti-codon, and T loops). Further hydrogen bonds mediate the characteristic L-shaped molecular structure. tRNAs have two regions of fundamental functional importance: the anti-codon, which is responsible for specific mRNA codon recognition, and the 3' end, to which the tRNAs corresponding amino acid is attached (by aminoacyl-tRNA synthetases). tRNAs cope with the degeneracy of the genetic code in two manners: having more than one tRNA (with a specific anti-codon) for a particular amino acid; and 'wobble' base-pairing, i.e. permitting non-standard base-pairing at the 3rd anti-codon position. Lineage: Bacteria; Pseudomonadati; Thermodesulfobacteriota; Desulfomonilia; Desulfomonilales; Desulfomonilaceae. The record is from Rfam by way of RNAcentral.